UACGUAGGGUGCAAGCGUUAAUCGGAAUUACUGGGCGUAAAGCGUGCGCAGGCGGUUUUGUAAGUCAGAUGUGAAAUCCCCGGGCUUAACCUGGGAACUGCGUUUGAAACUACAAGGCUAGAGUGUGGCAGAGGGGGGUGGAAUUCCACGUGUAGCAGUGAAAUGCGUAGAGAUGUGGAGGAACACCGAUGGCGAAGGCAGCCACCUGGGUUAACACUGACGCUCAGGCACGAAAGCGUGGGGAGCAAACAGG
RNAcentral lists this ribosomal RNA (253 nucleotides) under uncultured bacterium. RNAcentral describes it as "partial 16S ribosomal RNA". It matches the Rfam family "Bacterial small subunit ribosomal RNA", at positions 524 to 776 of the family's 1533-position model. The record is from RNAcentral.